This 193-nucleotide non-coding RNA is filed under the name Verrucomicrobia bacterium A1. RNAcentral's name for it is "6S RNA". It matches the Rfam family "6S / SsrS RNA". Rfam says of the family: E. coli 6S RNA was the first non coding RNA to be sequenced, but its function was unknown until recently. It consists of 184 nucleotides that fold into an extended hairpin structure with a large single-stranded internal bulge. The 6S RNA specifically associates with RNA polymerase holoenzyme containing the sigma70 specificity factor. Lineage: Bacteria; Pseudomonadati; Verrucomicrobiota. The record is from RNAcentral.
AAUACCCUGCCUUGUUCGUAUAAAGGGCCAAUACCUCUGACCCAACAUUGACCGACAGGGCGUUCGGAGUUCGGACGGUGCCUUAAAGUCUCCUCCUCGUGGGGAGAAUCAAGAACCCGCCCGACAGAGCGCCCACCUCGUAACACGAGGAUCAGAGUAGAGUGCCCUACUAACGACUUGUGGCGGGGUAUUU